RNAcentral lists this ribosomal RNA (773 nucleotides) under uncultured Neocallimastigales. RNAcentral describes it as "partial large subunit ribosomal RNA". It matches the Rfam family "Eukaryotic large subunit ribosomal RNA", at positions 20 to 639 of the family's 3401-position model. The record is from RNAcentral. Lineage: Eukaryota; Fungi; Neocallimastigomycota; Neocallimastigomycetes; Neocallimastigales.
UACUAGAGUAGCACUCGCAUAUCAAUAAGCGGAGGAAAAGAAACUAACAAGGAUUCCCCUAGUAACGGCGAGUGAAGCGGGAAGAGCUCAAAUUUGAAAUCUUAAAGGGUUUCCCUUUACGAAUUGUAGUUUAAAGAAGUGUUUUCUGCUGAGGUUUUGGUAAAAGUUCUUUGGAAUAGGACAUCAUAGAGGGUGAGAAUCCCGUAUUUGACCUUUACUUUCAACUUUGUGAUACACUUUCAAAGAGUCGGAUUGUUUGGGAAUGCAGUCCAAAAUGGGUGGUAAAUUUCAUCUAAAGCUAAAUAUUGGCGAGAGACCGAUAGCGAACAAGUACCGUGAGGGAAAGAUGAAAAGAACUUUGAAAAGAGAGUUAAACAGUACGUGAAAUUGUCAAAAGGGAAGCGUUUGACACCAGUGUUGUUUUUCUGAAAAUCAAUUAAAGAACUGUUUAUGCUAAGCUGUUUAGACUUUAUCAGCUAUCUGUUUAGUUUUGAGCUUUUCUUUAAUGCACCUUUCAGUUAACAAGUCAACAUCAAUUUCUUUUGCUGUAAAAAAGCUUGAGGAAGGUGGCUUGAGAUUCGUCUUAAGUGUUUAUAGCCUCUUGCCUAUGCAGUCGGAGAGAUUGAGGUCUGCAGCGUAGAUCCUUCGGGGCUAAAUGCAUUUGUGCUAAGUUAUAGCAUUUUAUAGACAACUUGUUGACUAUGAUUUGUCUUGUAGCUUACUCGCUUAUGUUAUUUUACCUACGCUUAGGAUGUUGAACUACUGAGACAUAG